Long non-coding RNA from Hippocampus zosterae (dwarf seahorse), 2691 nucleotides. RefSeq lists it as uncharacterized. NCBI's taxonomy places the organism in Eukaryota, Metazoa, Chordata, Actinopteri, Syngnathiformes, Syngnathidae. The record is from RefSeq and is a predicted model, not a curated record. The transcript has 2 exons.
UCCCACCAGGUAGGACAGGUAUUUCACGGACCAGAAACCGUUCGUUGGGGGAGGGGUUUGAUGUACAAACCCAAUCAGAACCUAUGUGCUUUGGUGGAAAGAAAAAAACAAAACAGCAAAUGCUUUACCAGGUACUCAUGUUGAAUGACUAUACAAUGUGCCUUGAAAUACGAAAGAUUCAACUUAAAUGUAUUUUAAGUUACAAGUUUGGACAAUCAUUUUCUUUGACUUUCAAGCACAAAUCUGAGAUACGAGUGCUGUACGAGUGUAUUGAACUCAACUCACCGUCUCAAAUCAUCGUUUUCUAUUGAAAUGAAGGGAAAGCCCAUUAAUCUGUCCCAGUCACUUAACAACAAGCAACACAUUGCCAGAUGGUAUUUAUGAUAUCUGUUUCCUGAAAUUCACAUUUGAAGCUUACUUUGAAAUGAAACAUGAAACUAAGAGAAAAAUAGUUUGUGCAUUAAAAAAAAUUACAUAGCUCAGCCUUAUUAUCAAGUUUAAUGCUCACAAAUAGCAUCUGUAUGGCAGUGCUGUAGCCCUUGAAGCAACCGACUGUACACAAACAGUACAGCAACACUUGUAGACAGAUAAUGUAACAAUACUCCCAGUCAUAUAUUCUUUAUCCUCUGCAAGAACAACUAGCACCGUACUGAGGACCUAAGAGGAGUUGAGAGGUCUCAAUGAACACUAUGCUGUAUCUGUCUGUCUGUCUUACACUGCCCCCUUGUGGCCACACCAGAACGAGCAGCGUGAUGUACCUUGACAAAAAAAAAAUCAGUUCUUUUUCAAUCUUUUUUAACAAUGUCUGUGCUCUACGUUUUUAUACAGUGUAUGAGGAGCAGCUCUUCCCUCAUUAAAAUGCACAUUAUACAAAUUUUUGUUGGUUUUUUUGGGGGAGGUGGCUGGAACAGAUCAAUGGCAUUUCCCUUCAUUUAUAAAGAAAAAUAUGUUUUGAGACAGUGUGGUCAUUGGACAAAUUAAAUUCAUAUCUCAAAGCACCAUUGUAUACUAUUCAUAAAUCACCCUGGCCACAAAUAUGGCUGAAAUAUCGUCUCAUCAACACUUUUUGAUAAAAAAAACAAGGUAUUUUCCCCAUGUGUAAUUCCUACCAAAAAAUAGGAACUGUGUUGAACAAAAAUCCAACUCCAACUAAAUACCCCAAAUCAGCUCUUGUGUGUAUUUGUUUGAGUCAAUCAUUUACUCCUGUAAAAAUGAUUAUUUAGACAGAUGUAUGAAUAAAAUUGUACUGACUGUAUGUUGGUGAAAUCCUCAUUUUAUUUAAUCGCUGAAUACAAAGUCAAAAUCAUUUAACUACAAAGAUUAGAUAUACAAAAUGCUACAACAACCCUUUACUGCGCUUUGUGAGAUAAUCACGGUUAUGUCCUAAGUGACCAAACUGGAGUGUGUACAGUGUGUGUGUGUGUGUGUGUGUGCGCGCUCCAAAGUUUCAUCAGUAGAUCUUUAAUCCCUGCCUGCGUCACUGCAUUCUUCCAAUACGUCACGGUUUAGAUUCCUCCAAACAAACACAAACAAGGCACAGCAGCAUCGGGCAUGCGCCGGACAUGAUCUGUGCUUAGCCACCGCCAGACAGAUGGCACAUCACAUAUGUACCCGUCCGUUCGUGGCCAUUGUUCAUUUGACAUCAGAGCCCGAACACCAGGAAAUUCACAUCUUUCCCAGUCAGCAAAAUUGGUCUGGCCCAGCUCUGGGGCAGACACGGCACGUACACUCGGCCCACAUACCUCAAUGAAUGACGGUCCCUGCAGUGGCCCACGUCUGGCAUCCAUGAUGUGCGCCGCAUUUGGCCCAGAUCUGAGCCGCAUUGUAAAACCAUAUCUGGCCUUACUCCGGCCCGAUGCUGGGCCAGAACAGGUUCCUGAUAGCAGCCUGAAUUCAACCUCAACUAAGCCACAUCUUUCAUGAGCCAUAUCUGACCCACAUUAAAAAAAAGUCUCAAAAACGACUGUUUUAAAAAUAUGUUUAUUGUCAUAAUUUGUGACCCUCACAUAUAACUCCACAUACAUUGGAAAAUGCACUUUUCUUUAUUUAACAGUGAACACAAAGUCCAAAUUGGGAUGCAGCUUACUCUUAAACGGUAUUUUUCUGUCCAUCAAAUUGUUGCGCUGUCCAUGUCCUCUUUUCUUCUCGUGCUCUCCUUCCUGUCACCAUCCCGAUCAGAGCCAGAUGUAGCCAUCUUUUGAUUAUGACAUCAAUUUCCUGGUCUGAGGCCCAAGAUGUUAGGCUGUGAAGUUUUUUUCAAUGUCAGAUUUUUUUUUUGAAUUGAGGUUUUAAAUUAACUUCACGGUAAAGUAUGAAGUAUCCGGUUUAUAUUGCAGCAAACGAAAUCAAAAUGAAUUUCAUUGUAUUUCAGUGCAGAAAGGGUUCUUUUUGGCAGCACCUCUGACUGUUCAAUCACCUUCAUUUUCACAAGUGAUGUGUUGGGUGCGAACGAGCCGGUACAAAGAGUACCGAAAAAAAACGACCAUGUAUAGUAAGGCGUUUUUAGCCGAAAAAAACGACCAUGUAUACUAAGGCGUUUUUAGCCGAAAAAAACGACCAUGUAUAGUAAGGCUUUUUUAGCUGAAAAAAACGACCAUGUAUAGUAAGGCUUUUUUAGACGAAAAAAAACGACCAUGUAUAGGGAGUCGUUUUUAUAAAAAAAAACCCGACCAUGUAUCGUAAGGCGUUUUU